Molecule: ribosomal RNA, 322 nt
Filed under: uncultured eukaryote
Lineage: Eukaryota
Description: partial 18S ribosomal RNA
Rfam family: Eukaryotic small subunit ribosomal RNA
Source: RNAcentral
CCCUUAGAUGUUCUGGGCCUCACGCGUGCUACACUGAGUAAUUCAAUGGGUAAGGGAACGCUAGAGCAUUACCUAAUCUUGAAAUUUGCUCGUGAUGGGGAUCGACGGUUGCAAUUUUCCGUCGUGAACGAGGAAUACCUUGUAGGCGCAUGUCAUCAUCAUGCGCCGAAUACGUCCCUGCCCUUUGUACACACCGCCCGUCGCUCCUACCGAUUGAGUGAUCCGGUGAGGCUCUGGGACCUGGACGGAAAGAGCGUUUCGCUUGUUCUGUUUGGGAAACUUGGUCGAACCUUAUCAUUUAGAGGAAGGAGAAGUCGUAACA